This 124-nucleotide ribosomal RNA is filed under the name Columba livia (rock pigeon). The record is from RNAcentral. Lineage: Eukaryota; Metazoa; Chordata; Aves; Columbiformes; Columbidae.
AUGUGCAGCCACACCCCCCUGAGAACGCCCCAUCUCAUGUGAUCUGGGAAGCUAAGCAGGGUCGGCCCCGGUCAGUGCUUGGAUGGGAGACCAGCCGCAUUGAUGCUGGAGGGAGUGGAGCAUC